AGGUCAGGAAAGCCUGAACUUUCUCAUCUAACACCUGUUCAAGUCGGAGGAUGCUGAUUAAUUCAUGAUGGAAAGGUAUCAAUUUCACAGCCCAGACUUCUACAUUCUUGAAAUGCUGUUCUCAUGGGAGACAUUAAAUAAGCUUUGAAAUAACUUGCCAUGACACCCAGGAUGCAGCUGUAGGAACACCACUGGGUCCCUGGAUAUCAUGUAAGCCCUUAAGUAAAGGUGCCAUCAAAUGAUUUCUCAGAAAUUAUAAAGAAACAAAAGGACCAUAAACAAGAUAAGGUGGCACGAGGAAACACUAAAAGUACCUUUCAGAGCUGACUGGCAAAGAAACUCCUGAGGUGAUGGUUCUACCCCAAUAUUACUUCUUCCAAGAGCAACCUAACUGACCUUGUAUUGAAGACAGCAUAACCCCCAAGAGGAAAGGAGCUUGGAGCCCUGAAUCAGAGUAGAAGACAGGCUGAACACCAGCCUUGGACUGUUGUGUGAAUGAAAAACAAGUUUUGAGAUUUGUGUGGUUUACUUAUUAUAGUUACUGUUAUUAUUAAAGUUUUUCACUGCUUUACUCUCAG
Molecule: non-coding RNA, 578 nt
Filed under: Pongo abelii (Sumatran orangutan)
Lineage: Eukaryota; Metazoa; Chordata; Mammalia; Primates; Hominidae
Source: RNAcentral